This 53-nucleotide transfer RNA is filed under the name Dipodomys ordii (Ord's kangaroo rat). It matches the Rfam family "tRNA", at positions 1 to 52 of the family's 71-position model. From Rfam's summary of the family: Transfer RNA (tRNA) molecules are approximately 80 nucleotides in length. Lineage: Eukaryota; Metazoa; Chordata; Mammalia; Rodentia; Heteromyidae. The record is from Rfam by way of RNAcentral.
GGGAAGGUGGUUCAGUGGUAGAGCGCUUGCCUUGCAUGCAUGAGGCCCUGGGU